CAGCCGCCGCGGUAAUACGGAGGGUGCAAGCGUUAAUCGGAAUUACUGGGCGUAAAGCGCACGCAGGCGGUCUGACAAGUCAGAUGUGAAAUCCCCGGGCUUAACCUGGGAACUGCAUUUGAAACUGUCAGGCUGGAGUCUUGUAGAGGGGGGUAGAAUUCCAGGUGUAGCGGUGAAAUGCGUAGAGAUCUGGAGGAAUACCGGUGGCGAAGGCGGCCCCCUGGACAAAGACUGACGCUCAGGUGCGAAAGCGUGGGGAGCAAACAGGAUUAGAUACCCGGGUAGUCCCUGUCUCUUAUAC
This 301-nucleotide ribosomal RNA is filed under the name uncultured bacterium. RNAcentral describes it as "partial 16S ribosomal RNA". It matches the Rfam family "Bacterial small subunit ribosomal RNA", at positions 509 to 807 of the family's 1533-position model. The record is from RNAcentral.